CUCAGUAACACGUGGACAACCUACCCUCCGGACGGGUAUAAACCCGGGAAACUGGGUAUAAUCCCCGAUAGAUCUCGGUCGCUGGAAUGCCCCGAGAUCGAAAGCUCCGGCGCCAGAGGAUGGGUCUGCGGCCUAUCAGGUAGUAGUGGGUGUAGCGUACCUACUAGCCUACGACGGGUACGGGUUGUGAGAGCAAGAGCCCGGAGAUGGAUUCUGAGACACGAAUCCAGGCCCUACGGGGUGCAGCAGGCGCGAAAACUUUACAAUGCCGGCAACGGCGAUAAGGGGACCUCGAGUGCCAGGUUACAAAUCUGGCUGUCGUGAUGCCUAAAAGCAUUGCAUAGCAAGGGCCG
Molecule: ribosomal RNA, 353 nt
Filed under: uncultured Methanosaeta sp.
Lineage: Archaea; Methanobacteriati; Methanobacteriota; Methanomicrobia; Methanotrichales; Methanotrichaceae
Description: bacterial SSU rRNA
Rfam family: Archaeal small subunit ribosomal RNA
Source: RNAcentral